Molecule: ribosomal RNA, 498 nt
Filed under: uncultured bacterium
Lineage: Bacteria
Description: partial 16S ribosomal RNA
Rfam family: Bacterial small subunit ribosomal RNA
Source: RNAcentral
AUUGAACGCUGGCGGCAUGCCUAACACAUGCAAGUCGCACGCGAAAGAGGGGCAACCCUUGAGUAGAGUGGCGGACGGGUGAGUAACGCGUAGGAAUAUACCUGGUAGUGGGGGACAACCCGGUGAAAACCGGGCUAAUACCGCAUACGAUCCACGGAUGAAAGCAGGGGACCGCAAGGCCUUGCGCUAUCAGAUUAGCCUGCGUCCGAGUAGCUAGUUGGUGAGGUAAUGGCUCACCAAGGCAACGAUCCGUAGGUGGUGUGAGAGAACGACCAGCCAAACUGGGACUGAUACACGGCCCAGACUCCUACGGGAGGCAGCAGUGGGGAAUAUUGGACAAUGGGGGCAACCCUGAUCCAGCAAUGCCGCGUGUGUGAAGAAGGCCUUCGGGUUGUAAAGCACUUUCGGUGGGGACAAACGUGGCGAGGCUAACAUCCUCGUCCUUGAUGGUACCCAAAGAAGAAGCACCGGCUAACUCUGUGCCAGCAGCCGCGGUAA